Molecule: transfer RNA, 60 nt
Filed under: Kaestneriella sp. KaspPE
Lineage: Eukaryota; Metazoa; Arthropoda; Insecta; Psocodea; Peripsocidae
Description: tRNA-Arg
Source: RNAcentral
UGGUAAGAAGCAAAUUUUGCAUUUAGUUUCGACCUAAAAUUUUAGUUUUUACUCUACCAU